AGAGUUUGAUCAUGGCUCAGGAUGAACGCUAGCUACAGGCUUAACACAUGCAAGUCGAGGGGCAGCAUCAUCAAAGCUUGCUUUGAUGGAUGGCGACCGGCGCACGGGUGAGUAACACGUAUCCAACCUGCCGACAACACUGGGAUAGCCUUUCGAAAGAAAGAUUAAUACCGGAUGGCAUAGUUUUCCCGCAUGGGAUAAUUAUUAAAGAAUUUCGGUUGUCGAUGGGGAUGCGUUCCAUUAGGCAGUUGGCGGGGUAACGGCCCACCAAACCUACGAUGGAUAGGGGUUCUGAGAGGAAGGUCCCCCACAUUGGAACUGAGACACGGUCCAAACUCCUACGGGAGGCAGCAGUGAGGAGUAUUGGUCAAUGGACGAGAGUCUGAACCAGCCAAGUAGCGUGAAGGAUGACUGCCCUAUGGGUUGUAAACUUCUUUUAUACGGGAAUAAA
This 451-nucleotide ribosomal RNA is filed under the name uncultured bacterium. Its description in RNAcentral is "bacterial SSU rRNA". It matches the Rfam family "Bacterial small subunit ribosomal RNA", at positions 8 to 450 of the family's 1533-position model. The record is from RNAcentral.